Molecule: unclassified non-coding RNA, 216 nt
Filed under: Hevea brasiliensis (rubber tree)
Lineage: Eukaryota; Viridiplantae; Streptophyta; Magnoliopsida; Malpighiales; Euphorbiaceae
Source: RNAcentral
CCGAGGUGUUAUGUUAUAAAAGUUUUGCUUCUAAAGGGUUUGAUCAAGGAAACAAUCAGUUUACUUUCGUUUCUACCACGUUCCGACAAGAGCUUCUUAGAGUCGUUCGUGAUCAAGCAUGAGGAACAAGUGCCUCAAUUGAUGGAUGUUUUCAAAGGGAAAACUGAUCUUGCAGAAGUAUGUUUUGGGUUUGGUGAAAAAUGUAGCGCUCCAAGG